This 207-nucleotide ribosomal RNA is filed under the name uncultured bacterium. Its description in RNAcentral is "partial 16S ribosomal RNA". It matches the Rfam family "Bacterial small subunit ribosomal RNA", at positions 568 to 774 of the family's 1533-position model. The record is from RNAcentral.
UGCGUAGGCGGUUUUCUAAGUUUGGUGUGAAAUCUCCCGGCUUAACUGGGAGGGUGCGCCGAAAACUGGAAGGCUUGAGUAUGGGAGAGGUAAGCGGAAUUCCUGGUGUAGCGGUGAAAUGCGUAGAUAUCAGGAGGAACACCUGCGGUGUAGACGGCUCACUGGACCAUAACUGACGCUGAGGCACGAAAGCGUGGGUAGCAAACA